RNAcentral lists this ribosomal RNA (497 nucleotides) under uncultured bacterium. RNAcentral describes it as "partial 16S ribosomal RNA". It matches the Rfam family "Bacterial small subunit ribosomal RNA", at positions 28 to 507 of the family's 1533-position model. The record is from RNAcentral.
GAUGAACGCUGGCGGCGUGCCUAAUACAUGCAAGUCGAGCGAACGGACGAGAAGCUUGCUUUUCUGAUGUUAGCGGCGGACGGGUGAGUAACACGUGGAUAACCUACCUAUAAGACUGGGAUAACUUCGGGAAACCGGAGCUAAUACCGGAUAAUAUUUUGAACCGCAUGGUUCAAAAAUGAAAGACGGUCUUGCUGUCACUUAUAGAUGGAUCCGCGCUGCAUUAGCUAGUUGGUAAGGUAACGGCUUACCAAGGCAACGAUGCAUAGCCGACCUGAGAGGGUGAUCAGCCACACUGGAACUGAGACACGGUCCAGACUCCUACGGGAGGCAGCAGUAGGGAAUCUUCCGCAAUGGGCGAAAGCCUGACGGAGCAACGCCGCGUGAGUGAUGAAGGUCUUCGGAUCGUAAAACUCUGUUAUUAGGGAAGAACAUAUGUGUAAGUAACUGUGCACAUCUUGACGGUACCUAAUCAGAAAGCCACGGCUAACUACGUG